CAUUAUGGCUCUCUCCUUGCCUGGAACUGGAUAUGAGAAAUGCUUGAAUUAAGAUCUGUGAAUUAUCUUAUUUUCUUGUCAGAAGGAUGCAGAUUGCCCAUACUUCAUAGCAGAGCAACAGGAGGGACUUAGGGACAAAAAGAGGAAAACGAAGGCAUUACAAAACAAGCAUAUUAAGUAUACGAUUCACAUCCCAACAGCUCAAAGGCAAGGAAGACUGAGGAAGCUAAGUUACUGGCCAUAUGUUUAAUAAAUAUAAGCUUAAUGGCAGUGAAUGUAUUAAUGUCAGCGAAGACAAGUCUAUGAAGUUAAACAGGCACAGAGAGGCUAAGAGUCUUGCCAAAGGCCACAGAGGAAGGAAGAGACUAAAUCUGGAACAAACUUUCUAUUCUCCAUUUCCAGAAGAAACCACUAAACCAUGCUUCCUCUUGUCAUGGAAGCUUAAAAUAUUUGAUCAAACUACGUUUAAAUAAGAAUUAAAAUGCCAUUUGUCCAUCACCUAAUGGCUCAAUUUGCUCCUGCCUUGGGUGUGCACACCCUGCUCUGGAACAGACCAGAGCUCUAAAGAAGUGACUGGAAGUUGUGAAUGUCAUUGUUAUGAAGCUUCAAAUUUGCUCUCCUCUUUAGGACACAGACAUGGCAUUAGAGAAGGGCAGAAAACUGCACUUGGCUGUGCAUAGAGAACACUAGAGACCUCUUGUGCAAGAGAGGGGACUAGGUUGCGUAGUGUAAUGAGAGAAGCAUGGGUUUUGAGACCGCUACAAUGUCUGUGUCUUCUUGGCCAACAUUUCAGUAAGAGUAGUAAGCAUAUCUCCACAAUAGGGUUAAGAGAACCAGUGUCUUCUGAAAAACACAUGAAAUCAUCGUAACCCUGCUAAGUCUGUGCUUUGCAAAAAUUAAAAC
Molecule: long non-coding RNA, 903 nt
Filed under: Homo sapiens (human)
Lineage: Eukaryota; Metazoa; Chordata; Mammalia; Primates; Hominidae
Description: HSALNT0374284
Source: RNAcentral